RNAcentral lists this ribosomal RNA (253 nucleotides) under uncultured bacterium. RNAcentral's name for it is "partial 16S ribosomal RNA". It matches the Rfam family "Bacterial small subunit ribosomal RNA", at positions 524 to 776 of the family's 1533-position model. The record is from RNAcentral.
UACGUAGGUGGCAAGCGUUGUCCGGAUUUAUUGGGUUUAAAGGGUGCGUAGGCGGCUUUGUAAGUCAGUGGUGAAAUAUGGCAGCUCAACUGUCAGGGUGCCAUUGAUACUGCGGAGCUUGAGUACAGAUGAGGUAGGCGGAAUUGACGGUGUAGCGGUGAAAUGCUUAGAUAUCGUCAAGAACACCGAUAGCGAAAGCAGCUUACUAGGCUGUAACUGACGCUGAGGCACGAAAGUGUGGGGAUCAAACAGG